UACGUAGGGAGCAAGCGUUGUCCGGAAUCAUUGGGCGUAAAGCGCGUGUAGGCGGCUUGGUAAGUCUGCUCUGAAAGCCCGGGGCUCAACCCCGGGAGGCGGGUGGAUACUGCUGAGCUCGAGUCCGGAAGAGGCGAGUGGAAUUCCUGGUGUAGCGGUGAAAUGCGCAGAUAUCAGGAGGAACACCGAUGGCGAAGGCAGCUCGCUGGGACGGUACUGACGCUGAGGCGCGAAAGCUAGGGGAGCGAACAGG
Molecule: ribosomal RNA, 253 nt
Filed under: uncultured bacterium
Lineage: Bacteria
Description: partial 16S ribosomal RNA
Rfam family: Bacterial small subunit ribosomal RNA
Source: RNAcentral